RNAcentral lists this long non-coding RNA (199 nucleotides) under Linum usitatissimum (flax). RNAcentral describes it as "long non-coding RNA (LUSI_LNC004042)". The record is from RNAcentral. Lineage: Eukaryota; Viridiplantae; Streptophyta; Magnoliopsida; Malpighiales; Linaceae.
CUGCCGCCGUCGCCGGAGGAAAAAGGGAGAGAAGGAAAGGAGGAGGAGCGGACGGGGGAAAGUGUAGAGAGAAGGGAGAGGAUUGAGAGGAAGAGAGAGGGAGUUAGGGUUUCAAAUGGCUGAAUUUGGCUUAAGAUGGGUAUUUAUAUGAACCAGGUAAAUUACAUUUUUGCCCUACGCCUUCCUUCUUGACACACAA